UACGUAGGGUCCGAGCGUUGUCCGGAAUUACUGGGCGUAAAGAGCUCGUAGGUGGUUUGUCGCGUUGUUCGUGAAAACUCACAGCUCAACUGUGGGCGUGCGGGCGAUACGGGCAGACUUGAGUACUGCAGGGGAGACUGGAAUUCCUGGUGUAGCGGUGGAAUGCGCAGAUAUCAGGAGGAACACCGGUGGCGAAGGCGGUUCUCUGGGCCUUACCUGACGCUGAGGAGCGAAAGCGUGGGGAGCAAACAGG
RNAcentral lists this ribosomal RNA (253 nucleotides) under uncultured bacterium. RNAcentral's name for it is "partial 16S ribosomal RNA". It matches the Rfam family "Bacterial small subunit ribosomal RNA", at positions 524 to 776 of the family's 1533-position model. The record is from RNAcentral.